Molecule: long non-coding RNA, 340 nt
Organism: Fukomys damarensis (Damara mole-rat)
Lineage: Eukaryota; Metazoa; Chordata; Mammalia; Rodentia; Bathyergidae
Exons: 3
Source: RefSeq, a predicted model, not a curated record
UAUUCCUGUCAGGCCGGAGGUGAGGGUGCUCCAGACGGCCUCCCUGAGCCCCAGCCAGCAGCAGCCCUACCUCCUCUCCGAAUAGUGGGUAACAGGACAGGCAAACCGCCCUCCUGCUCCUUCACACAGAAGACCAGGCAAAGAUGGGCCCUUCGCCGGGUGACGGAUUUUCAGAGCCUCUCCACAGCCCCUCCGCCUCCAGCUGUCUGCUCACAGCCUUUUCACCCUGUCUGGGUCACUUCCAGCGUGAAUCCCUCUGACAGACUUCUCUCAGGAAGCGACUCACCUGGCUCCCCGGCCAUCCUUCGAACCCCGCUGCCUGGGUCACGGUGCAUCACAC